AAACUUGCCACACAGGAUAGAAGAAGGCUGGACAAAAUGGUGUAGAAAUUAAGCAACAAUAGCAUCCUCAUAGAGAACUAUAAAAAUAAAAGGCAAAGAAAACUCCUCUUUUUCAGUCUCAUUAUACACUCAUCUACAGCAGACCAACAACGGAUUUCUUUCUCUUUUCUUUUAUUUCAUUUUUCACUUUCCAUUCUUCCUGAGGCAACUAAGGAAAAAAAACAAAAAUACCUAUUUUCUGCUGGUAACUAGCGAGAAAACUUGCAAGGGUUCAUGGAAAACCAAACUUGGACAAGGCUGAUAGGAACAAAGUUGAGAACUCCUGGGAAGUAUUCUGAUCAUCAACUUUGAUAGUUAUCUGUGCUUUAGCUGAUGAUGUGUUGAUUUUACAUUCUACAAGAUAAAUAGAUGAUUCUUCUGCUUUUUGAGCAAAGAAGAAAAACUUGAAAUUGGGCGAUUGACCACCUGAUGCAAUGCAUUGAAUGGAAUGGGAUUGCAUGUGACGGAGGAGGGCUUGAGGUGCCGUCAAUGCUGCAACUCCUUGAGGAUUUAGAGAAUGCUCCUGUGAUACAGAUAUUGGUAGUUGGCGCCAUUUUUGCUGAAAAGUGGCCGGAUCUAGGACAGCUCUGGAAUUAAGCUUCAAAGGAGGAGGUGCAGGUGCUGCUGGUAGACCAAGACCUAGCAAAUCAUCAAUGGCAAAGCUAGCCUGAGGACCUGCUACUUCAAGGUUUGAAAUCAAUGAAUCUGAUUGUGCUUGUGAAGCAGCAGCAGACACUGAUGAAGCAUCAUAUAAAGGAGCACUAUAUGCAGAACCAUUAUUACUGGCACCUCUGCUUUCUUCUUUCUCUGAAGUACUUAGAAGCAGAUCCUGAUCAUUUGCCUCAACUCUAUUUGCUCGUACAACAUCAUUUGUAG
Molecule: unclassified non-coding RNA, 915 nt
Filed under: Hevea brasiliensis (rubber tree)
Lineage: Eukaryota; Viridiplantae; Streptophyta; Magnoliopsida; Malpighiales; Euphorbiaceae
Source: RNAcentral